RNAcentral lists this long non-coding RNA (2279 nucleotides) under Callithrix jacchus (white-tufted-ear marmoset). Its description in RNAcentral is "lncRNA (ENSCJAG00000077103.1)". The record is from RNAcentral. Lineage: Eukaryota; Metazoa; Chordata; Mammalia; Primates; Cebidae.
UUCCAUCUCAAGGAUGAAAUGACACUAUUUAUGGUAUUUUGCAAUAACAUUCUAGAUUUAGUUCCAGAAGGCUGAACUUUAUCUAAAUAAGUUCUUUUGUUCCAUGUUCAUGUUUAUGGUAGCAUAAAAAACCUGCAGAAGCAACAAGAAGGCAGCAAAUAGUAUCUCUGAAAUAUCAUAGGGUGUCUUGGCAGCAAUCAAAUAUACUCAGCCUUUCAAGAAGAUGUAAAGUCAUUCCUCCAAGAAACGACAGAAUUACAGGGUCAGUAGCUGCUGAUUAGGCUUACAAAGGGGACUACUCAAAAGGAAUCAUGGAGUGUUUUACUGAGCAAUCCCUUAAAGGAAAGAGGUCUGGAGAGUUAAAAAAGCUUUAAUCUGCAUUCUCCUUAUCACCCACCCCCACCCAUUUCCCUUUUAGGUGCUUUAGUGCUUAAUAACAAGCUAUAUUGUCUUUUAUCCAAUAACUCAAGCCAGUCCAAAGGUUUUGUUUUAUAAAGUACAAUUUUUUAAUGUCAAACUCCAUACUUUUCAUUUUUCUUAUUUUCUUGAUAUAAGGAAGACCUGGAAACACCAGGCCCACAUUCCCACAGGACAAUGAUGCUUAUUGCUGGGCAAUGACUUUCUCAUUUGGGUGGGGUCCCAUCUAUUUCACCACAGUCUCACAAAGUGGCACUGAGCAGGGAGCAGGUACUUGCCUGUUCUUCACAGAAUGCAGCACAGGUCCAGGACAGGGAAUACUUAAAGAAGGUAGCAUCAUUUUGUCUGCUGUUUCAAGAUGUUCUGAGAGUUCAAUACUCAGAGUACUCAGUGUUUUUUUCAGAGGAAUAGGAGUAACCUGUGUGACUGAACUCCAGAGAAAUUUCAGGGUUUGGCAAAAGGGGUAAAUGUCCAACAACCAGAGGGAACUCCCAGUAGCAGCCUGUGUUGACCGACAGCAGGCAGAAGCUGUAUUCACAUUGUUAGACAUAGCUGGACACAGUCUGGCGAUGCCCAGACAUUUUUGGGGUGGAUAGGAGCACUUUGCAGGAUACUGAGGAUUGCCAAUAAUGCAGAUGGGUUAUCGAUCUCACAGAACAAAUGGACAUUAUUGUUAAUUUAGACACAUUCAUGUUUAUAGACUGUGGGUACUAUAAACAGUAAAGUCAAACUUCUAUAAAAACUAUCCCCUCCCAUGCCAUUGGCUUCCAAGAACCAAUUUUAUACUCACUCAGCAUGUCUUAUCGAUGGGCAGAAAUAAGUUUGGAGCAAAGUUUCAAAGCAUUUAUGAUUGGUUUUGAAUUUGAAAAAAAACAUGCACACAUACCCAGAAAAGCUAGGCACAGCUUUUCAUCCAAAAUGAAUAAUUAUGCAUAGAACUGAUUACUUAAAUACACAUUUCAUGAUUAUAAAUGAAAUUACCUGCAUUACACUGCAAAUACCUUGUUCUGCAUGGAUUAAGGAAAGUAAAACUUGAUUGCAGAUGUUGGAAAUUUUAGACCUUGAUUUUUCAGUUAUUCUGAAAAUAUAUCACUUGCCUCUUACAACACUCCCCUUAUGGAAGUAAUUUACAAGCUGAAACUGAAAAUGAAAUGUUGGUUAUACUGGAUUUUACAUUGGGGUGAAAUUCUAGGAGCUGGAACACAGGAAAGUAAGUGGACUGCUUCUCUGUUUUCACAUCUAGUUCAGACCUUUCCAUAAGCAGCAGAUGCCCAGGCUAGUAGAUCUCUCCAUACUUGUUUAAUCUGAGGGAUUCCAGAAAACCCUGAAAACCCUGAGAGUUUCUUCCAAAAGCCUGUGUAUGUGCCUGAAAUCCUAUUUUUAUUACUUUACUUCUGGUUUUUGCUUGUUAAAAUGCACAUGUUCCUGAGGAGAAUAAUCCAUGAAACUGUAAUCCAUCAAAGCAACAUAGUGUGAAUCAGCUUGUCAGUUCCAUUCCAAAGCGACAGCUUGGGAAGAACAGGUUUAUUUUCCUCUGUUGUUUUAGCAACCUCAUUUUUCACAUCUUUUUCCACUAACCAGAUUAGACCCUCUCUGUAGGCAUAGGCUUUGGUUUAGCCUUUCAUCUGAUCAUUUCAUGUGGACUCACAUCCUGUUUUUGGGGGAACUCAUUUGCUUUUCUUGGAUUCCUUAGAGGUUUGUAGGAGACCAGGCUUUAUUAGUAUGUAGUGCUUAAAUGCAAGGAGUCAAUAUUGAAAUUGUAAUCCUAGAUAAAAAAUAAUUUAGACUCAGAAAUAUUUUGAAAUGUAGGCAAAAUACAGCUCACUUCCCCUGGUGUAUUUCUUUAUGAUCCUCAAUCACAG